Molecule: long non-coding RNA, 217 nt
Filed under: Amborella trichopoda
Lineage: Eukaryota; Viridiplantae; Streptophyta; Magnoliopsida; Amborellales; Amborellaceae
Description: long non-coding RNA (ATRI_LNC000462)
Source: RNAcentral
CGUGUACAGACUGGGACGAAGUCAAGAUCCAGAAUAGCUGAAGCUAUUAUGGAAGGAAUUCACAAAGCGUUGGAAAAUAUGGUUGCUCUAAUGCAACAUCAGAUGGAAAACAACAAUCCACCCAGGCAGUCAGUUACGGGAAAUGGUGGGAGUGAGAUCGAACAAUAUAAGAAAUUGAACCCACCUUCUUUUAAGGGUGUUGUAAACCCACUGGAAG